Molecule: ribosomal RNA, 328 nt
Filed under: uncultured bacterium
Lineage: Bacteria
Description: bacterial SSU rRNA
Rfam family: Bacterial small subunit ribosomal RNA
Source: RNAcentral
GAUGAACGCUAGCGACAGGCUUAACACAUGCAAGUCGAGGGGCAGCAUAAAAGUAGCAAUACUUUGGUGGCGACCGGCGCACGGGUGAGUAACGCGUAUGCAACCUACCUAUCAGAGGGGAUAACCCGGCGAAAGUCGGGCUAAUACCGCAUAAAACAAGGGGCACCGCAUGGUGAUAUUUGUUAAAGAAAUUCGCUGAUAGAUGGGCAUGCGUUCCAUUAGGUAGUUGGUGAGGUAACGGCUCACCAAGCCGACGAUGGAUAGGGGAACUGAGAGGUUGGUCCCCCCACACUGGUACUGAGACACGGACCAGACUCCUACGGGAGGC